GUAAAAUAAUGGGUCAAAGGUCAGACUUCAGCCAGUCCAGACUCCAAAGACUUCACUUGCUUGUUGGUAGAGUGAGGGAGAUGUGAAGUUUACCUUUGGGAGCGGCUCCAGUAGGAAUCCAAUGGCCAAUGUGACGAUCAUCACUAUGAUAGCUGACAGUAAACCAGCUAUCUGAAAAAGGACAGAACAGGAUAGCUAAAGACAGGAAAGAGGACGAGAGGAGAGAGAGGACGACAUGCAGCAAAGGGAAGCAGGUUGGAAUCAUACGCUGGGCUGCUGUGGUGAGGACUGAGCCUCGGUACGUGGGGCACACACUCAACCAGGUCAGUGGUGUUUUCAGACGUGGCCCAUCAGAGGGAGGAAACGCAGUGGUUAUGCCUCCAACCACAGACGCGUGGUGAGCAGUCGUCAACCAGUGGUUAGUGGUGUUUCACGUUUAUGUUUUUGUUCCUUUCCAAGCCCUCAACUCACACUCAAAUAGAGUGUUGUAGGAUGUUUGCUGAAGGAACUCAACAUUGAGCUUGUGCCAGAAGAUGCGGGCUGGUUUAACAGAGAUGGAUUGAUAUAUAAAUAACUGCAAUUUUGUUUCAUUGUUGCGGAGGCCCCUGGAGUGAUUACAG
Long non-coding RNA from Perca fluviatilis (European perch), 620 nucleotides. RefSeq lists it as uncharacterized. NCBI's taxonomy places the organism in Eukaryota, Metazoa, Chordata, Actinopteri, Perciformes, Percidae. The record is from RefSeq and is a predicted model, not a curated record. The transcript has 3 exons.